This 1437-nucleotide long non-coding RNA is filed under the name Solanum tuberosum (potato). RNAcentral's name for it is "long non-coding RNA (STUB_LNC004343)". Lineage: Eukaryota; Viridiplantae; Streptophyta; Magnoliopsida; Solanales; Solanaceae. The record is from RNAcentral.
GAAGAACAAGAGGAUAGUAACUGAGGCAAAGUUGAAAGUGGCUAUCAAUGGAUUUGGAAGAAUUGGAAGGAACUUCUUGAGGUGUUGGCAUGGUAGAAAAGACUCACCUCUUGAUGUCAUUGCCAUCAAUGACACUGGUGGUGUCAAGCAAGCUUCUCACCUUCUCAAAUAUGACUCCACCCUUGGCAUCUUUGAUGCUGACGUCAAGCCGGUUGGCACUGAUGGAAUCUCUGUCGAUGGAAAAAUCAUCCAAGUCGUCUCCAACCGUGACCCUGUGAACCUCCCAUGGGGGUAAGUUCUAUCAUACUGAAAUGUAACAAAACGGAUUUAAGUUGUAUAUGUUCAAAUAUAGUGUAACAAAAUUUACAUUAUACAUUUGUAGAAAAGACUAAUUAAAACUCUGUAUUAUGAUACAGGGAACUCAUAUUAUCAGUUGUCUAAACAGAAACAGUAGUUCUAAGUUUUAAUAGUCAUGAAUUAUAGACUUAAUGGUAACAAACAAACCUAAGCUAUCACAUUUUCGUGAGUUUCAUACGUCAGCUAUCCAUUGUUCUACUUAGCACUUACAUACCUAAACUGUCACCUUUUUGCGAGUUUCAUACCUCAACUAUCACUCCCUUUGUAUUAAACACACCUCGAUGUUGAAUUGUCCUACAUGCCUGUUGUUGAUUGAGAACAAAUAUUUGGCCAGCUUGAGUGAUAUUUUAGGUACAAAAAGAGAACAAUGGAUAGUUGAGGUAUGACACUCGCGAAGAAGUGAUAGUUUAAGUGUUUUUUUAUCAUUUACUCUGAAUUGAAACAUGAUUAAUUUAGCUCAUGUGGUGUCUAACAUAUACUACUAGCAUGAGAUACCUGGUAAGCAUCUAAACUAUUGUUCAAAAUGUUUUCUGUAAUUUGUUCAGAGAACUUGGAAUUGAUUUGGUCAUAGAAGGUACCGGAGUGUUUGUAGACAGAGAAGGUGCCGGUAAACACAUCCAGGCCGGAGCCAAGAAGGUGCUCAUCACCGCCCCUGGAAAAGGUGAUAUCCCUACUUAUGUUGUUGGUGUCAAUGCUGAACUUUACAACCAUGAUGAACCUAUCAUCAGCAAUGCCUCUUGCACCACCAACUGCCUUGCUCCUUUCGUCAAGGUUCUUGACCAGAAAUUUGGUAAUACAUCUUGAUCUAGUAAUACACGAGCGUAUACUGUCAGUGUAUAUAACUUAAACUCAUCAAUACAUUAUCUUUCCUUAUCAUAGGAAUUAUCAAGGGAACAAUGACAACUACUCACUCUUACACCGGUGACCAAAGGCUUCUUGAUGCAAGCCACAGGGAUCUUAGACGUGCGCGAGCUGCAGCACUGAACAUAGUUCCAACCUCAACUGGUGCUGCUAAGGCUGUGGCUCUUGUCCUCCCAAGCCUCAAGGGGAAACUCAACGGGAUUGCCCUCCGUGUUCCCA